ACCUGAUGAUGUGGGCAUUUAUGAAGCAAGUCCCUAAAGCGCUCCUAGGUCUUAAAUAAAAGUUCCCCAUCCAUUUGUGUGAAACUUGUGAGUGCCCUUUGCAGCUU
Molecule: small nucleolar RNA, 107 nt
Organism: Malania oleifera
Lineage: Eukaryota; Viridiplantae; Streptophyta; Magnoliopsida; Santalales; Ximeniaceae
Source: RefSeq, a predicted model, not a curated record